GGGAAUGUGGCUUAGUGGUAGAGUGCUUGCCUAGCAUGCAUGAAGCCCUGGGUUCAGUUCCUCAGUACCA
Non-coding RNA from Dipodomys ordii (Ord's kangaroo rat), 70 nucleotides. Lineage: Eukaryota; Metazoa; Chordata; Mammalia; Rodentia; Heteromyidae. The record is from Rfam.